This 464-nucleotide ribosomal RNA is filed under the name uncultured bacterium. RNAcentral describes it as "partial 16S ribosomal RNA". It matches the Rfam family "Bacterial small subunit ribosomal RNA", at positions 28 to 507 of the family's 1533-position model. The record is from RNAcentral.
GACGAACGCUGGCGGCGUGCUUAACACAUGCAAGUCGAGCGGAAAGGCCCUUUCGGGGGUACUCGAGCGGCGAACGGGUGAGUAACACGUGAGUAAUCUGCCCUUCACUUGGGGAUAACCUCCGGAAACGGUGGCUAAUACCCGAUACGACCAUUCCUCGCAAGAGGUGGUGGGGGAAAGUUUUUCGGUGGGGGAUGUGCUCGCGGCCUAUCAGCUUGUUGGUGGGGUAAUGGCCUACCAAGGCUUCGACGGGUAGCCGGCCUGAGAGGGUGACCGGCCACACUGGGACUGAGACACGGCCCAGACUCCUACGGGAGGCAGCAGUGGGGAAUAUUGGACAAUGGGCGGAAGCCUGAUCCAGCAACGCCGCGUGAGGGAUGACGGCCUUCGGGUUGUAAACCUCUUUCACCUGUGACGAAGCGAAAGUGACGGUAGCAGAAGAAGAAGCACCGGCCAACUACGUG